CGCGUGGGUAAACCUGCCUCAUACAGGGGGAUAGCAGCUGGAAACGGCUGGUAAUACCGCAUAAGCGCACGGUAUCGCAUGAUACAGUGUGAAAAAAUCCCGGUGGUAUGAGAUGGACCCGCGUCUGAUUAGCUGGUUGGUGAGGUAACGGCCCACCAAGGCGACGAUCAGUAGCCGACCUGAGAGGGUGACCGGCCACAUUGGGACUGAGACACGGCCCAGACUCCUACGGGAGGCAGCAUGGGGAAUAUUGCACAAUGGAGGAAACUCUGAUGCAGCGACGCCGCGUGAGUGAAGAAGUAGUUCGCUAUGUAAAGCUCUAUCAGUAGGGAAGAUAGUGACGGUACCUGACUAAGAAGCUCCGGCUAAAUACGUG
RNAcentral lists this ribosomal RNA (376 nucleotides) under uncultured bacterium. Its description in RNAcentral is "bacterial SSU rRNA". It matches the Rfam family "Bacterial small subunit ribosomal RNA", at positions 114 to 507 of the family's 1533-position model. The record is from RNAcentral.